Small nuclear RNA from Hyla sarda, 183 nucleotides. RefSeq annotates it as U2 spliceosomal RNA. Lineage: Eukaryota; Metazoa; Chordata; Amphibia; Anura; Hylidae. The transcript has a single exon. The record is from RefSeq and is a predicted model, not a curated record.
AUCGCUUCUCGGCCUUUCGGCUAAGAUCAGGUGUCGUAUCUGUUCUUAUCAGUUUAAUCUGAUACGUUGCCUAUCUAGGGACCAUAUAUUAAAUAGAUUUUUGAGAACGGGGGCCGAUUCAAAGCUUUCUUCUGUCACAAUGUGCAUUGACCCGAUAUGGCAUGAUCUUACAGUGCAUCUCCC